GGAGUUCAGUCUUCCCAGGCCCACCACUUUCAUCGAGUGAGCAUUCGUCUUCUGGUUACGGGGCCAUAGCUCAGCUGGGAGAGCGCGUGCUUUGCAAGCAUGAGGUCGUCGGUUCGAUCCCGUCUGGCUCCACCAGAUGGUUUGAUCGCCGAGAUCUUGCACCGUCGUCCGCGAAACAUCACUUCGCAUCCUGCUAGUCUGGAUAGACAGCAAGAUGCGUGUUUUCUGACAUCGUAAAGAGGAGAUCGAUCCGAGUUGGGUCGUGCAGCAGAUGUUGCGCGAAUCCUUCAUUAUCUCCGGAUCAUUUUCGGCGCUCGCUUUCAGCCGUGAGGUUGAAUGCGAGUUGUAAAAUGAUCCUUUUAGCGAAGCUUGACCGCCUCGCUAUCGGAACGAUCUUACGAAGCAAGCUGGUCUUUCUAGUCAAUGUCCGGCUGCAGAUAGCGUUCGUCGAGGGCGCGUGCCGCAAGGCAAUUCUGCAGACAACAUUCUGCCGAGUGUGUGGACAUUGAUAAUGAGAGCAAUCAAGUGCCUUAAGGGUGUUCGGUGGAUGCCUUGGCGCUGAGAGGCGAUGAAGGACGUGCUACGCUGCGAUAAGCCGUGGGGAGCUGCGAAGAAGCUUUGAUCCGCGGAUUUCCGAUGG
This 640-nucleotide unclassified non-coding RNA is filed under the name Bradyrhizobium sp. RNAcentral's name for it is "partial 16S-23S ribosomal RNA intergenic spacer". The stretch from base 520 to 640 matches the Rfam family "Bacterial large subunit ribosomal RNA", at positions 1 to 121 of the family's 2925-position model. Lineage: Bacteria; Pseudomonadati; Pseudomonadota; Alphaproteobacteria; Hyphomicrobiales; Nitrobacteraceae. The record is from RNAcentral.